Long non-coding RNA from Struthio camelus australis, 1248 nucleotides. RefSeq lists it as uncharacterized. NCBI's taxonomy places the organism in Eukaryota, Metazoa, Chordata, Aves, Struthioniformes, Struthionidae. The record is from RefSeq and is a predicted model, not a curated record.
AGGCCGAGCUGGCCGACACCAGCUGACGCUCUCCGCGGAAAUGAGGAAACCGAUGACUGCUGGCGUUAUCGCUUGAGUUAGUAGCGAGGCAAACGUCUACGUUACUCAGCGCAGAGAUACCCAGAGUAUCGUAAAAGUGGUUUAUAGCACAUCGCGUCUGCUGGUCUCCCUGAAGGGAGACGCAAAGGUCUGACGACUGACAGGGUCACAGGGGGCCGAGGUGCCCAGAAGAAACUGGGAGGUGUGCUGUUUCUCCUGCGUUUCUAUCACUUGCCUGUUUUUUCCUGCAGCACAGUGAGGAGAUACUAGCUCAGGUCUUGCAAGCGGUAUAACUCUGUCAGAGUCACUCUACACCCGUGCUAAUUAACUGAGCCUUUCAGCAGAGCUAAUUAACUGAAGCAGAAUACUUCAAUGGCCCAGCAAUCCUAUGCAUCAAGUUUUGGACAACCAAGAGGACACCGAUGAGAAUAAGAGAUUUAGAAAGCAUGCUAAUGAGGAGAAUUUAAAGAUCUGGACAGACACAAGAUAACUGGGCACAAGAUAACUGUCUUCAGUUCUAUGCAAGAAACCAACAGUGAACUUUCCAAGAAAAACCUAAAUGACUUAAGGCAUGCAUCGAGGAAGUCAUAUUAUGCACUGAUUCAUGAAAUAUGCAUCAAGUAUUGGUUAAACAGAAUGGAAGAGAACAUGAAAAAACUACAUGGAGUGAGCCAAGGGAUGGAAGCAUCCUGCUGCCGUUUUGGACUCGUGUCCAUUAUCUAGAUCUUUGGAUCUCUUUUGACUCAGCCACUUUCCAGAGUAAAGGGGAACAAGAUCUAUUAUUCAGGUCCUAGCACUGUCCCUAAUUAUUCCAUGCAGUGUGAGGCACGUUGCCAACAGAGUGGUCCAAUGCCUAGGAAACUUUUUUGAAUUGCUUUCCUGAGGGACAGAAGCCAAACCAUUAUGUACUACUUUCCUAGGAAAAGAUCAAAGCCAGAGUGAGUAGAUUAAACUUGUGAUAAGAGUGGCAUCUGAUGGCUCUGAAACCCCUCAGGAUGCUGGGGACGGACAUACUGAUUUUCCAGGUAUCACAUAUAGAUGUUUCCCCAUUGUUAAUAGAAAGUCUUUGAAGAUUUUGAAAUUCCACUAGGAAUCAAAUUCCACUAGGAACUGCAAUUCUCAGUACUCAAAUGCCUACGUUUCCUGUGUGGAGCGAGCUUGCCGAUUUGAACAGUUUGGGUACUUUUGGCCAACUACCUCACAUUUUGU